GACGAACGCUGGCGGCGUGCCUAAUACAUGCAAGUAGAACGCUGAAGCGAGGAGCUUGCUCUUCUUGGAUGAGUUGCGAACGGGUGAGUAACGCGUAGGUAACCUGCCUUGUAGCGGGGGAUAACUAUUGGAAACGAUAGCUAAUACCGCAUAACAAUGGAUGACACAUGUCAUUUAUUUGAAAGGGGCAAUUGCUCCACUACAAGAUGGACCUGCGUUGUAUUAGCUAGUAGGUGAGGUAAUGGCUCACCUAGGCGACGAUACAUAGCCGACCUGAGAGGGUGAUCGGCCACACUGGGACUGAGACACGGCCCAGGCUCCUACGGGAGGCAGCAGUAGGGAAUCUUCGGCAAUGGGGGCAACCCUGACCGAGCAACGCCGCGUGGGUGAAGAAGGUUUUCGGGUCGUAAAGCUCUGUUGUAAGUCAAGAACGGGUGUGGGAGUGGAAAGUUCACGCUGUGACGGUAGCUUACCAGAAAGGGACGGCUAACUACGUG
RNAcentral lists this ribosomal RNA (497 nucleotides) under uncultured bacterium. RNAcentral describes it as "partial 16S ribosomal RNA". It matches the Rfam family "Bacterial small subunit ribosomal RNA", at positions 28 to 507 of the family's 1533-position model. The record is from RNAcentral.